UUGUCGUACUAGGUGGUUGGACGAGCUGCUUCCCCCGGAUGCCGCCUCCCGCUGUUCCCGAGUGGGUAUCGUGGUUACGGAGCUGCCAUUACUACAGCCAGUCAAGGUAUGUACGGCACAUCGUACUUUCGUCACAGCUCUCGCACACCAAUAACCAAACCACAACUGGAUGGUGGCAUCGGAAGACACUGAAGAGUUUUGUCUGCUUAAAUAGCGGGGGAUGCAGCCAUCCCAUGAAUUGUACAGCCUGUUCCGAAAUGGCGCGGUCCAGUCCUGGAAUGGCGUACCGUUGACCUUGCUUCCAAUCGAUGACGGGGCUCCACGAGCCAGGGACCAGCGUCCCAGUCAUAGCCUGUGCUACGACCCCCGCCCAUACUUCUGCAAGUAUGGACUUCCGCCUGAGGCGGCGUUUACCUGUAGGCAUCCAUGACAGCAUCCCGCUUGCUGUCUGACCCAGAUGUUGGAGCCAUAGAUCUGACAGAAAGGCGGCAAAAUAGGCAGUUGGAAUUCAGUUAGUUCCUGCGAACUUGUCCAGCAGAACUUGUCCAGCAACCGUGCUAAGCGAGAAAGGAAAAACUAGACAGAAGAUGUAUCAGUUUGGGACCGAUUUAAGAAGCGGAAUACAACAACUAUCCCCCUGUAGUAGCUGGCUGCUGAAAAGGCCUCUCGAGAUGCUGGUGGUCGCGCUACGCACGUAUUUGUAGAGCCGUACUGUGUACCAGCUGCUACACCCCCCCUUUUGGAUGCAGCAUCCUCAAUGAAUGGUAAGAAACUAGCAAAGCAGAAUCGGGCCAAAAAGUGUGGGAGUUAAACACUUACCUUUAACCUGCAAAUCUUACCUCGCCCGUGCUUGUUGCCGUGCUUCUUCCAGCAGAGGUUUCAGAUCAGGGGUAAAGUUAGCUUCUGGUUCCCAACUGUUGUGCUCAGCUGAGUACCCAGCCCAGUUGACGAGAUACUCAUGCACAGUGCGCUUACAGUGGCGGUUUCUGCCUACUUUUUAGGAACGGUAACUGAGUACCCGUUCAAGCACGUAAAAUGUCUACUUAUCUGAAAGCCAAGUAAUGGGUCCUGGCUCUUGUCACGCCAUAUGACGUGCUAACAAACAUAAGAAAUGCGGAUGGAUCACAGUAGGAGCAGGUUUUGGCUGAAGCGCAUGGCAAAAUAGGCAGUUGGAAUUCAGUUAGUUCCUGCGAACUUGUCCAGCAGAACUUGUCCAGCAACCGUGCUAAGCGAGAAAGGAAAAACUAGACAGAAGAUGUAUCAGUUUGGGACCGAUUUAAGAAGCGGAAUACAACAACUAUCCCCCUGUAGUAGCUGGCUGCUGAAAAGGCCUCUCGAGAUGCUGGUGGUCGCGCUACGCACGUAUUUGUAGAGCCGUACUGUGUACCAGCUGCUACACCCCCCCUUUUGGAUGCAGCAUCCUCAAUGAAUGGUAAGAAACUAGCAAAGCAGAAUCGGGCCAAAAAGUGUGGGAGUUAAACACUUACCUUUAACCUGCAAAUCUUACCUCGCCCGUGCUUGUUGCCGUGCUUCUUCCAGCAGAGGUUUCAGAUCAGGGGUAAAGUUAGCUUCUGGUUCCCAACUGUUGUGCUCAGCUGAGUACCCAGCCCAGUUGACGAGAUACUCAUGCACAGUGCGCUUACAGUGGCGGUUUCUGCCUACUUUUUAGGAACGGUAACUGAGUACCCGUUCAAGCACGUAAAAUGUCUACUUAUCUGAAAGCCAAGUAAUGGGUCCUGGCUCUUGUCACGCCAUAUGACGUGCUAACAAACAUAAGAAAUGCGGAUGGAUCACAGUAGGAGCAGGUUUUGGCUGAAGCG
Molecule: long non-coding RNA, 1820 nt
Filed under: Volvox carteri
Lineage: Eukaryota; Viridiplantae; Chlorophyta; Chlorophyceae; Chlamydomonadales; Volvocaceae
Description: long non-coding RNA (VCAR_LNC000299)
Source: RNAcentral